UACGGGAGGCAGCAGUGGGGAAUAUUGCACAAUGGGCGAAAGCCUGAUGCAGCUAUGCCGCGUGUAUGAAGAAGGCCUUAGGGUUGUAAAGUACUUUCAGCAGGGAGGAAAGAAAUAAAACUAAUAAUUUUAUUUUGUGACGUUACCUGAAGAAGAAGCACCGGCUAACUCCGUGCCAGCAGCCGCGGUAAUACGGAGGGUGCAAGCGUUAAUCAGAAUUACUGGGCGUAAAGAGCGCGUAGGUGGUUUUUUUAAGUCAGAUGUGAAAUCCCUAGGCUUAACCUGGAACUGCAUUUUGAAACUGAAAACUAGAGUAUCGUAGAGGGAGGUAGAAUUCUAGGUGUAGCGGUGAAAUGCGUAGAUAUCUGGAGGAAUACCGUGUGGCGAAAGCGGCCUCCGUAAACGAUACUGACACUGAGGUGCGAAAGCGUGGGGAGCAAACGAGGAUUAGACUACC
This 457-nucleotide ribosomal RNA is filed under the name uncultured bacterium. RNAcentral's name for it is "bacterial SSU rRNA". It matches the Rfam family "Bacterial small subunit ribosomal RNA", at positions 340 to 787 of the family's 1533-position model. The record is from RNAcentral.